AGGGCUGUAGCUGAGUGGCUAGAGCAUCUGCUUUGCAUGCAGAAGGUCCCAGGUUCAAUCCCCAGUGUCCCCA
This is a non-coding RNA of Podarcis lilfordi (Lilford's wall lizard), 73 nucleotides long. The record is from the annotation of a GenBank genome assembly. NCBI's taxonomy places the organism in Eukaryota, Metazoa, Chordata, Lepidosauria, Squamata, Lacertidae.